AUUCGAUUAGAGUUUGAUCAUGGCUCAGAACGUACGCUGGCGGCACGCCUUAUACAUGCAAGUCGAACGAAGUAGCAAUACUUAGUGGCAGACGGGUGAGUAACAUGUGGGUAUCUUCCCUUUGGUGAGGAAUAACACGAGGAAACUUGUGCUAAUACCUCAUAAGUCUUUACGGAGAAAGCUUUAUGCGCCAAUGGAUGAGCCUGCACUUGAUUAGUUUGUUGGUGGGGUAAUGGCCUACCAAGACUGUGAUCAAUAGCUGAUUUGAGAGGAUGAUCAGCCACAUUGGGACUGAGACACGGCCCAAACUCCUACGGGAGGCAGCAGUGGGGAAUCUUGCACAAUGGAGGAAACUCUGAUGCAGCGAUGCCGCGUGAGUGAAGAAGGCCCUUGGGUUGUAAAGCUCUUUCGUCGGGGAAGAAAAUGACUGUACCCGAAUAAGAAGGUCCGGCUAACUUCGUGCCAGCAGCCGCGGUAAUACGAAGGGACCUAGCGUAGUUCGGAAUUACUGGGCUUAAAGAGUUCGUAGGUGGUUGAAAAAGUUGGUGGUGAAAUCCCAGAGCUUAACUCUGGAACUGCCAUCAAAACUUUUCAGCUAGAGUAUGAUAGAGGAAAGCAGAAUUUCUAGUGUAGAGGUGAAAUUCGUAGAUAUUAGAAAGAAUACCAAUUGCGAAGGCAGCUUUCUGGAUCAUUACUGACACUGAGGAACGAAAGCAUGGGUAGCGAAGAGGAUUAGAUACCCUCGUAGUCCAUGCCGUAAACGAUGUGUGUUAGACGUUGGAAAUUUAUUUUCAGUGUCGCAGCGAAAGCGAUAAACACACCGCCUGGGGAGUACGACCGCAAGGUUAAAACUCAAAUGAAUUGACGGGGACCCGCACAAGUAGUGGAGCAUGUGGUUUAAUUCGAAGAUACGCGCAGAACCUUACCAACACUUGACAUGUUCGUCGCGACUCUAAGAGAUUAGAGUUUUCGGUUCGGCCGGACGAAACACAGGUGCUGCAUGGCUGUCGUCAGCUCGUGUCGUGAGAUGUUGGGUUAAGUCCCGCAACGAGCGCAACCCUCACUUUUAGUUGCCAUCAUUAAGUUGGGCACUCUGAAAGAACUGCCAGUGAUAAGCUGGAGGAAGGUGGGGAUGACGUCAAGUCCUCAUGGCCCUUACGUGUUGGGCUACACACGUGCUACAAUGGUAUCUACAACAGGAAGCAAAACCGCGAGGUUAAGCAAAUCCUUAAAAGAUACCUCAGUUCGGAUUGCACUCUGCAACUCGAGUGCAUGAAGCUGGAAUUACUAGUAAUCGUGGAUCAGCGUGCCACGGUGAAUGCGUUCCCGGGUCUUGUAGACAC
Molecule: ribosomal RNA, 1343 nt
Filed under: uncultured bacterium
Lineage: Bacteria
Description: bacterial SSU rRNA
Rfam family: Bacterial small subunit ribosomal RNA
Source: RNAcentral